Molecule: ribosomal RNA, 1475 nt
Filed under: metagenome
Description: bacterial SSU rRNA
Rfam family: Bacterial small subunit ribosomal RNA
Source: RNAcentral
AGAGUUUGAUCCUGGCUCAGGAUGAACGCUAGCGGGAGGCUUAAUACAUGCAAGUCGCACGGCAGCAUUGAUAUAGUAAUAUAUUAGAUGGCGAGUGGCGCACGGGUGAGUAACGCGUACACAACCUACCCUUAAGAGGGGGAUAACUCAGAGAAAUUUGGGAUAAUACCCCAUAAUAUCGUUUAUAUGCAUAUAUGGAUGAUUAAAGUUCCGGCGCUUAAGGAUGGGUGUGCGUUAGAUUAGGUAGUUGGUGAGGUAACGGCUCACCAUGCCGACGAUCUAUAAGGGGCGUGAGAGCGUGAUCCCUCACACGGAUACUGAGACACAGACCCGACUCCUACGGGAGGCAGCAGUAAGGAAUAUUGGACAAUGCCCGCAAGGGUGAUCCAGCCAUCCCGCGUGCAGGAAGACUGCCCUAUGGGUUGUAAACUGCUUUUAUCAGGGAAGAAACCCCUUGACUUGUUAAGGGUUGACGGUACCUGAUGAAUAAGCACCGGCUAACUCCGUGCCAGCAGCCGCGGUAAUACGGAGAGUGCAAGCGUUAUCCGGAAUCACUGGGUUUAAAGGGUGCGUAGGCGGCUUAAUAAGUCAGAGGUGAAAAACAACAGCUUAACUGUGGCACUGCCUUUGAUACUGUUGAGCUGGAAUCAGGUUGAAGUUAGUGGAAUGCGGCAUGUAGCGGUGAAAUGCAUAGAUAUGUCGUAGAACACCGAUUGCGAAGGCAGCUAACUGGGCUUGAAUUGACGCUGAGGCACGAAAGCGUGGGGAUCGAACAGGAUUAGAUACCCUGGUAGUCCACGCCCUAAACGAUGCUAACUCGAUGUAUGGUUGUAAGAUUGUGCGUCUAAGGGAAACCGUUAAGUUAGCCACCUGGGGAGUACGUUCGCAAGAAUGAAACUCAAAGGAAUUGACGGGGGUCCGCACAAGCGGUGGAGCAUGUGUUUAAUUCGAUGAUACGCGAGGAACCUUACCUGGGCUAUAAUGCGACUGCUAUACUGGGAAACUGGUAGUUCCUUCGGGACGGUCAGCAAGGUGCUGCAUGGUUGUCGUCAGCUCGUGCCGUGAGGUGUUGGGUUAAGUCCCGCAACGAGCGCAACCCCCAUUGUUAGUUACCAUCUCCUGAUUUCAGGAAGGGACUCUAACGAGACUGCCGGCGUAAGCCGAGGGGAAGGUGGGGAUGACGUCAAAUCAUCAUGGCCUUUAUGUCCAGGGCGACACACGUGCUACAAUGGCCGGUACAGAGGGUUGCGACACUGUGAGGUGAAGCUAAUCUCAGAAAGCCGGUCUCAGUUCGGAUUGAAGUCUGAAACUCGACUUCAUGAAGUUGGAAUCGCUAGUAAUCGCGCAUCAGCCAUGGCGCGGUGAAUACGUUCCCGGACCUUGUACACACCGCCCGUCAAGCCAUGGGAGCCGGGGGUACCUGAAGACGGUGACUUAACAGGGAGCUGUCUAGGGUAAAACUGGUAACUGGGGCU